UACAGAGGUGGCAAGCGUUGUUCGGAAUUACUGGGCGUAAAGGGCGCGUAGGCGGUUUAAUAAGUCAGUGGUGAAAGCCCAUCGCUCAACGGUGGAACGGCCAUUGAUACUGUUAAACUUGAAUUAUUAGGAAGUAACUAGAAUAUGUAGUGUAGCGGUGAAAUGCUUAGAGAUUACAUGGAAUACCAAUUGCGAAGGCAGGUUACUACUAAUGGAUUGACGCUGAUGGACGAAAGCGUGGGUAGCGAACAGG
RNAcentral lists this ribosomal RNA (253 nucleotides) under uncultured bacterium. Its description in RNAcentral is "partial 16S ribosomal RNA". It matches the Rfam family "Bacterial small subunit ribosomal RNA", at positions 524 to 776 of the family's 1533-position model. The record is from RNAcentral.